Molecule: unclassified non-coding RNA, 195 nt
Filed under: uncultured Pezizaceae
Lineage: Eukaryota; Fungi; Ascomycota; Pezizomycetes; Pezizales; Pezizaceae
Description: sequence contains ITS2
Source: RNAcentral
UCCUCCCACUUAAUCAAACUUUUGUAUAUAUAUAUAUAUAUAUAUGAAGAUGUUUGGAACAACAUUUGAGAAAAGUAAAGUCUGAUUAUUUUGGAGUUACUUUCUUAAAAAUGAGAUUUAUACUGUUUUGAUUUUCUUCAAAGCUCAUUUUGUAUGAAAUAUAGCAAAUGGGUGUAGAUUGGAAGCAAUACUGUU